CUGAAGAUUCAGUUAGCAAACUACCAGACUCAGGGAAGGAAUCUACUCUACUUUCUCUCUAAUAUCGUUGGAGCAACCUGAAGACAGGAACUUGGCCUCAAGAAAAUAGGAAUACCUGAGCAUGUUUGGAGGCUGCUGUGUAACAACCAGGCGAACAAGAUAGAUGCAAGGUGUGCAAGAAAGGAUAAGUGAGAUUGCAAGAAAGGAAGGUGGAUGGAGCUUCUGCAUUCUUCAGAGAAUGAAGAAAUGAAGUCAUCAAAAAUUGCCACAGCCACCCCAACCUGAGCAGCCACCAUCCUGAUCAGUCAGCAGCCAUCAACAUCAAGACAAGACCAUCCACCAGGAAAAAGAUUAUGACUUCCUA
This is a long non-coding RNA of Balaenoptera ricei (Rice's whale), 364 nucleotides long. RefSeq lists it as uncharacterized. The transcript has 3 exons. Lineage: Eukaryota; Metazoa; Chordata; Mammalia; Artiodactyla; Balaenopteridae. The record is from RefSeq and is a predicted model, not a curated record.